Molecule: ribosomal RNA, 484 nt
Filed under: uncultured bacterium
Lineage: Bacteria
Description: partial 16S ribosomal RNA
Rfam family: Bacterial small subunit ribosomal RNA
Source: RNAcentral
AUUGAACGCUGGCGGCAGGCCUAACACAUGCAAGUCGAGCGGACGAAGGGAGAUCGCGCCUGGCUGCAGCUACCGACGGACGGGUAAGGAAUACGAACCUACCUUGUCUUUGAGGAUAACGUACCGUAGGGGGACCUAAUCUAAUACACGUCAAUAUGGAGAAAGGCAGGGAUCUUCAGAGCAAGAGGGAUUAGAUGUGACUAGGUCGGAUUAGCUAGUUGGUGGGGUAAAGGCUUACCAAGGCGACGAUCCGUAACUGGUCUGAGAGGAUGAUCAGUCACACUGGAACUGAGACACGGUCCAGACUCCUACGGGAGGCAGCAGUGGGGAAUAUUGGACAAUGGGCGAAAGCCUGAUCCAGCCAUGCCGCGUGUGUGAAGAAGGUCUUCGGAUCGUAAAGCUCUGUUAUUAGGGAGGAAGAACAGUAAGUUAAUCCCUUCCUGUCUUGACGUUACCUACAGAAUAAGCCCCGGCUAACUUCGUG